ACUAAGCGUACACGGUGGAUGCCUAGGCAAUCAGAGGCGAUGAAGGACGUGCUAAUCUGCGAUAAGCGUCGGUAAGGUGAUAUGAACCGUUACAACCGACGAUUUCCGAAUGGGGAAACCCAGUGCAAUUCGUUGCACUAUCGUUUGAUGAAUACAUAGUCAAACGAAGCGAACCGGGGGAACUGAAACAUCUCAGUACCCCGAGGAAAAGAAAUCAACCGAGAUUCCCCUAGUAGCGGCGAGCGAACGGGGAACAGCCCAGAGUCUUAAUCAGCAUUAGCAUCAGGAGAACGGUCUGGAAAGGCCGGCAGUAAAGGGUGAUAGCCCCGUAUCCGAAGGUGUUAGUGUUGUGAACUCGACGAGUAGGGCGGGACACGUGUUAUCCUGUCUGAAUAUGGGGGGACCAUCCUCCAAGGCUAAAUACUCCUGAUUGACCGAUAGUGAACCAGUACCGUGAGGGAAAGGCGAAAAGAACCCCGGCGAGGGGAGUGAAAUAGAACCUGAAACCGUGUACGUACAAGCAGUGGGAGCCUUGAUUUAUCAGGGUGACUGCGUACCUUUUGUAUAAUGGGUCAGCGACUUAUAUUCUGU
RNAcentral lists this ribosomal RNA (591 nucleotides) under Providencia rettgeri. Its description in RNAcentral is "partial 23S ribosomal RNA". It matches the Rfam family "Bacterial large subunit ribosomal RNA", at positions 10 to 638 of the family's 2925-position model. Lineage: Bacteria; Pseudomonadati; Pseudomonadota; Gammaproteobacteria; Enterobacterales; Morganellaceae. The record is from RNAcentral.